UACAGAGGGUGCAAACGUUGCUCGGAAUCAUUGGGCGUAAAGCGCACGUAGGCGGCCUAGCAAGUAGGGAGUGAAAUCCCUCGGCUUAACCGGGGAACUGCGUCUGAUACUGGAUGGCUUGAGUUUGGGAGAGGGAUGCGGAAUUCCCGGUGUAGCGGUGAAAUGCGCAGAGAUCGGGAGGAACACCCGUAGCGAAGGCGGUUCUCUGGGCCGGUACUGACGCUGAGGAGCGAAAGCGUGGGGAGCAAACAGG
RNAcentral lists this ribosomal RNA (253 nucleotides) under uncultured bacterium. RNAcentral's name for it is "partial 16S ribosomal RNA". It matches the Rfam family "Bacterial small subunit ribosomal RNA", at positions 524 to 776 of the family's 1533-position model. The record is from RNAcentral.